UACAUGGGGUGCAAACGUUGCUCGGAAUUAUUGGGCGUAAAGCGCACGUAGGCGGUUUGUUAAGUCGGAUGUGAAAUCCCUCGGCUCAACUGAGGAAGUGCAUCCGAAACUGGCAGGCUUGAGUACUAAAGAGGGUCGCGGAAUUCCCGGUGUAGAGGUGAAAUUCGUAGAUAUCGCUUGGAACGCCAAAGGUGAAAACAGGUUGCUGGGGAUGCGCUGACACUGAGACGCGAAAGCCAGGGGAGCGAACGGG
Molecule: ribosomal RNA, 253 nt
Filed under: uncultured bacterium
Lineage: Bacteria
Description: partial 16S ribosomal RNA
Rfam family: Bacterial small subunit ribosomal RNA
Source: RNAcentral